GGGCAUGGAGGAUCCCCAGGUUAUUCCCAGAGCUGGCGUGUCUGUGUCACACUGCAGCCUCGCCCACAGGCUGUGACACUGCCAGAGAGAGCUGGCACAGGUGGCAUCCCGAGGCUCAGAUGAAUCCAUAUUUGUGUGGAAUGCUUUAAAUCUGUCCACAUGGAUUCCCCACACACCGUGCAGCUGCGGGCUGCAUGAUCCCACCCCACCAGCAGUUCUGGGACCCACAGGAUGGGAGCUGGCCAGCAGGUACAUGCACAUGGAUGUGGAAAGGGCACAGAUGUGACUUCCCUGUUGCCUUAUUCAUGAGAGAUCAAUUUCUGCAAAGUCAUUGUAAAUCACCAUCUUUCUGCUCUGGUUUGAUAUCCACUUCAUUGCUGCUGCCCUGAACAUCCUGACCUGGAGUGCUGUCACACCUAAUUAAAGCUACAUGGGUAAAAAAAGAUUGGGCUUCCAGGGUAGCUAAACAUCUUAAAUGCAUGCUGGGGCCAGAUCUUGAGCUGCUGUAUUUCAGCAAGGAUGUUAUUCUAUAUCUGCUGAAGACAUAGCUGCUGCUUUCUGAUUAGCCAGAAAAUAGCUUCCAAAAAAGCCUGGGAAUAUAAUAUGCUGGGAAUUCUUCACAGACUGUUUUUCCAUUAGAACUGGCUGCCAGCCUGCUUAGGAGGCUGUCUGACAUCAGGUAUAUCUUUCCUAGGAAGUCUCUAUUAUCUGAUACUGGUAUUAUUUUUGUGCCAAUUAAACUAUUCUGUUCUUAUUUCAAAAUGAAACCAUUCUAAUGUAAAAGCCCUAGAUGGAUAAUAUCCUUUAAUUCAGCUGGCUCAAGACACUCCUUUUGUUUUAAACAAAUUAACCUAAAAUGGAAAUAAACUUUUGACAGUCAAGGAAGCAUAGUCUAAAAUAGCUCACAAUUUACAGAGAGCUAAUCAGGCAGAUGUCUGAGACAGUGGAAGUAAAUAAUGGUCUCAUUCACACUGCUCUGCACUGAGAGCUACAUGAUGAAAGUCCUAGGAACCCCUUCGAUCAGCUCCAGGCUGAGCUCAUAAUCACCAGCUAUGGAACAGCAGCAUUUGGCUGCAAAUUAAAUUUCACAUCUUCCCUGCAAGAAAGCACCCUGUCCAACUGCAGCAGGGACUUCAGCAGCAAGGAGUAUUUGGGGGUUGUUUUCUGUCACUGACCAAAGUUGAGGGGAGAGUGAUGAGGUGUUAGGCUGAGACACCUCAAAGGAACUGAUUUUUGGAAAUCCUCAAACUAUCAGGCUGUUCUCAGGGCUGGCUCGAGUCAGGCACCCCAGAACAGGCAAGCAAAAUCACUAGCCCCUUUUAAAAACUAUCAGUCUUCAUCUGCCUAGCAGACAGAUUGAAAAAUCAGGCUAAUGUGGAAAUACUAACUAUGAAAAGCCUUGAAAGUUCUACAAAUCUGAAAAAAGUACUUCUUAGUGCUUGUAAAAUCUGUGUGUAUAGUGCAGGAUUUCUUCUUCCACCGAGCAGUAGAACAUGCUGUCCUUAGCUCCCAUGCCCAUGAAACUGUUAAUAUGCUGUAUUUAUGAAUAGCCAUUAGAAAAAGCGAACUGUCUUUGCAGUUUUGGUGCUCAGCCAGCCUGCCCACUUGCCCUUAUUCUCCUAGAACUGCUGCUGACUGUGCUGUGUUGAGGAUGAAUUAAGGCAGAGAAGGAAAUAUUUCUGAUAAUGGUGCAAACUGAAAGGGGCUUGGUUUGCUUUAGAACUCUAGUCUAGGUUGUUUGGGAACCAGCCCAAAUGGGCUACAGCCACUCACACAGAUCAGUUUACACACUUUGCUCUCAGUGGCACCUCCUAACAGGCCUAAUUAACAUCAGAGAGAUAAUUUAUUAGAUAUUUGACUUCACUUUGCAGUUGCAGACCAUGUAAAUAAGAGUUACCCUGGAAACAUGUUAAGAAUGACUGUGGCAUGUUAAUACGACCCCACUGUACUUUCAGAUUGAUUCUAGGAACGUGUAAAAAGGUGUUGGAAAAUCCAGUGCUGGAACUGAACACACUGUGAUACAUUUAUUCAGGAGUUGGAUUUUGUUCAUUUCGGGCUCUUUUACCUCCUCCCACUCGUUCUACCUGUGACUCUCAUCCUGGCAUUCUGGUGAGCACUGUAAAAAUUCAUAUGUUGGCUUUGAAAAGCAAAAUGAUUCUACCCAUCUGUGAUGAUAUUAACAUCUACUAAAAGCUAAUGAAAUGGGUGGCAUUAUGAUGUCAGGAGGAACAGAGCCAAAGGUGGUUUUCUGAACGGAGACUCUGCAUGAAUCUCCCCAGACUGCCCAGCAGUCAAGGAGAUUAUAUUCUCAACUGUUAAAGCUGUUUACACAUACCAACCAGCACUGACUGCCUCUUUGUGGCAAGUUGUUUACAUGAAUUUAUUUUGGGAAAAUUCCAUUAGACGGGACCAAGAUUUCUUCAUAAAUCAUUGAAUUUAACUUGUGUACUGAUAAAAUCUGGUUAGUCAUUUAUUCUUCUGA
Long non-coding RNA from Passer domesticus (house sparrow), 2482 nucleotides. RefSeq lists it as uncharacterized. NCBI's taxonomy places the organism in Eukaryota, Metazoa, Chordata, Aves, Passeriformes, Passeridae. The record is from RefSeq and is a predicted model, not a curated record. The transcript has 2 exons.